GUCUAUGGCCAUGCUACCUCGAACAAGCCAGAUCCCGUCUAAUCUCGGAAGCUAAGCAGGGUCGGGCCUGGUUAGUACUUGGAUGGGAGACCACCUACAAAGAAGACCAGUUGCUGUAGGCG
Molecule: ribosomal RNA, 122 nt
Filed under: Pteropus alecto (black flying fox)
Lineage: Eukaryota; Metazoa; Chordata; Mammalia; Chiroptera; Pteropodidae
Source: RNAcentral